UACAGAGGUUCCAAGCGUUGUUCGGAUUCAUUGGGCGUAAAGGGUGCGUAGGUGGCGCCGUAAGUCGGGUGUGAAAUUUCGGAGCUUAACUCCGAAACUGCAUUCGAUACCGCGGUGCUUGAGGACUGGAGAGGAGACUGGAAUUCAUGGUGUAGCAGUGAAAUGCGUAGAGAUGAUGAGGAAGACCAGUGGCGAAGGCGACUUCCUGGCCUGUUCUUGACGCUGAGGCGCGAAAGCUAGGGGAGCAAACGGG
Molecule: ribosomal RNA, 253 nt
Filed under: uncultured bacterium
Lineage: Bacteria
Description: partial 16S ribosomal RNA
Rfam family: Bacterial small subunit ribosomal RNA
Source: RNAcentral